Molecule: long non-coding RNA, 1893 nt
Organism: Cheilinus undulatus (humphead wrasse)
Lineage: Eukaryota; Metazoa; Chordata; Actinopteri; Labriformes; Labridae
Exons: 4
Source: RefSeq, a predicted model, not a curated record
CUGAAUGCCGACUGAAGACGUGCCUUUCUCUUCUCAGUUUUGUUUCUUUUCAGGCGUUUCAAGCUUGAAACUAAUAAAGACAUGAUGGAGCUCCAGCCUCCUGCUCCUCCUGCCAAGCACAGCCCGUCCCUCCGUCAUCAGCAUGGGUUACUGAGGCAACAGCUGAUCCAGAGAAGUCAAGAUCUGUAAAGCUGUGCGCCUUCAUCACUCACUUCCCCUCAUCCCCUGUAUGUCUGUGCUGGACACCCAGCAGUGACACGAUGCUGGCAUCCUUCCUUGAGCACCUUCAGCAGGCGUGUUGUCGCCUGCCUCAAAGGUCAGCCUGUUUGAACUGAGCUCUGUGGGAGGUGCCCUCCUGUGCUGCACAUGAAAGCUGACAAAGGAACCCUUUUUUGUUCUGACCGGGAGCAAAUGGUGACCCUCUCCUGUGCGCCUUGUGUGGAGCAUCUUGUGAUCAAGCCAUCAGUUUGUUGUGAGGCAGUUCAAAAACAGAUGAAAGCAGCAAAAAUAUAAAAGAGACUCACAGAAAAUGGUGUUAUGUAUGAGAUUUGUGCCUCAUGAUUUUCUUUGGAACAUUUGUCACUGCUCGUGUUACUUUUGCAUACUUUUCUUAUCCACCUGAGAUCAGAGAAACUAUCACUCAUGUUGUCCUUUCGUCGCUGAAUGAGGCCAAAGGCAAAGCUCACCAUGUGUAAGCAUCACCUCACCUGUGUGCUGUGUAGCCACAACAAGCCUGGCUGUUUGGAGCAAAAACAGUUGCACUCGCACUGCGCCUGUGUUUACCUGUAAACAUCACAGACAUCGGGGGUGACGGGGACCAGUCGUCGAGUCUGAAUACACAUGGAGCCAUAAAGUUACAGUUACUGUGCUACAAUUACUGAGUUUUUUCCUUCUUAGGAGAUGGACCUGAAAUCUUUAGUACAGCUCCUGUAGAUCCUUGAAAAAUCUUGAAAGGUCUUGAAUUGGUAUUUGGAAAUUUAAGGCCUUAAAAAACUUAUUUGUACCAGUGAGAGGUCUUAAAUUUUAAGAGGCACUUUGACAAAAGCAUGUCUUUGUCCAGUCCUCAUUUACUAGCCAGUUCAUUUGUUUUUUUUUUUAUCAUUUUUUGUGCAUGUUUGUGUGACAACAGCAUUUACAGCAGCGCAGCUUGUACAAAGCCUAUCUGUAUUAACUGUUCAUAAUCAGCUUUGCACACCUGUCUUAUGAUAAAUAUUACUUUACAAUGUAAUGAUUGAACAGAGGCAUUAAAUAUGCCAGAAAAUCAAUUUAGGACAAAAAUGUCUAUGUCUGACAUUUCUUACACUUUGCAUUUUAUCAGAAAUUUCAGCCCUUGUCCUGUAUACAGACAAAUCUCUUAUGCCUUUCAUUUUUGACUAUUGUCCCCUGCAAAAAGUGGAAUGAAUUUUUCUCAGUUCAGGUCAUAAAAAGUCUUAGAUUGGAUUUUAAAAGUGUGUAGAAACCCUGCUUUUAACAAUUUAGAGCAGCCUCAGUGUUUUUCACUGAGCUGAAGUGGUUCAAAUCACAAGUUUACCAAUGUGAGAAUUUUUUGGUGAGAAGGUAAUAAUCACAAGACUAAGAGCAGAUGCAAAUGAUAACAAUGUUCCUGCAGAAGGGCUAGAAAUAAACAUGCUGACACAAGGGUUAUCAGAAAUGCCAGCAGCAGCAGCCGUGCAAUUAUCCUUUUUAACACAAUGAACGUUUGAAAUUCAACACAUUUCUUUUAAUGACAUUGGCUUUUUUGUGUUAUUUCUUGGUGUUAUGUGAUGAUAAAGGGCAAAUAAAAACAUGGAUCAACAGCUACAUUAUUGGACAGUUAUUGUCAUUUUUGCACAGAUAUUCACACUGUCGUUUACAUAGAGGGGCAAUUUAUGGUUUUUUUUGGUCAAAGAGAAA